GACGAACGCUGGCGGCGUGCUUAACACAUGCAAGUCGAACGGAAAGGCCCUGCUUUUGUGGGGUGCUCGAGUGGCGAACGGGUGAGUAACACGUGAGUAACCUGCCCUUGACUUUGGGAUAACUUCAGGAAACUGGGGCUAAUACCGGAUAGGAGCUCCUGCUGCAUGGUGGGGGUUGGAAAGUUUCGGCGGUUGGGGAUGGACUCGCGGCUUAUCAGCUUGUUGGUGGGGUAGUGGCUUACCAAGGCUUUGACGGGUAGCCGGCCUGAGAGGGUGACCGGCCACAUGGGGACUGAGAGACGGACCAGACUCCUACGGGAGGCAGCAGUGGGGAAUAUUGCACAAUGGGCGGAAGCCUGAUGCAGCAACGCCGCGGGCGGGAUGACGGCCUGCGGGUUGUAAACCGCUUUCGCCUGUGACGAAGCGGGAGUGACGGUAAUGGGUAAAGAAGCACCGGCUAACUACGUG
RNAcentral lists this ribosomal RNA (468 nucleotides) under uncultured bacterium. Its description in RNAcentral is "partial 16S ribosomal RNA". It matches the Rfam family "Bacterial small subunit ribosomal RNA", at positions 28 to 507 of the family's 1533-position model. The record is from RNAcentral.